Oncorhynchus tshawytscha (Chinook salmon) is the source of this 544-nucleotide long non-coding RNA. NCBI's taxonomy places the organism in Eukaryota, Metazoa, Chordata, Actinopteri, Salmoniformes, Salmonidae. The record is from Ensembl.
AGAGAGAGAGAGAGAGAAGGCAGAGAGAGAGAGAGAGAGAGAAGGCAGAGAGAGAGAGAGAGAGAGAGAAGGCAAAGAGAGAGAGGAGAGAGAGAGAGAGAGAGAGAGAGAGAAGGCAGAGAGAGAGAGAAGGCAGAGAGAGAGAGAAGGCAAAGAGAGAGAGGAGAGAGAGAGAGAAGGCAGAGAGAGAGAGAGAGAAGGCAAAGAGAGAGAGGAGAGAGAGAGAGAGAGAGAGAGAGAGAGAGAGAAGGCAGAGAGAGAGAGAAGGCAGAGAGAGAGAGAAGGCAAAGAGAGAGAGAAGGCAGAGAGAGAGAGAGAGAGAAGGCAGAGAGAGAGAGAAGGCAAAGAGAGAGAGGAGAGAGAGAGAGGAGAGAGAGAGAGAGAGAGAAGGCAAAGAGAGAGAGAGAAGGCAGAGAGAGAGAGAAGGCAGAGAGAGAGAGAAGGCAGAGAGAGAGAGAGAGAGAGAGAGAGAAGGCAGAGAGAGAGAGAAGGCAGAGAGAGAGAGAAGGCAGAGAGAGAGAGAAGGCAGAGAGAGAGAGAGAAG